AAGUUAAACAUACUCGCACAUAUUCAUAUAUGUAUGUAUGUAUGUAUGUAGGUAUAUCGGUAAUAUUAAAUACGUUGUAGUUUAUUUGUAUUCCCUGAGCGUUGGCGUAGAACUGGUACUCACGUGCUAUAAAACUUGCCGCCGGCUUUGCUAAAGUUGACGAGCAUCACCAUAAAAGCCGUCGAAUUCAUAAACAACAAAUUUGCAAGCAUUGUAGACAUAUUUUACUUCUAUUCUACAACUGUGUACGCUAGGGGGCAUCACUCUCCAUUAAAAAAAUGGUUGGUGCUGUUUCUCCAUCGGAAUUAUGAAAUUUAGUUUGAAGCAGCAGAUAUCAAUGCUAGUUUGCAGUAACACGAUCGAAAUUACAGUAGACUCGGGGUUGAGGGAACUAAUUCGUACAAGGGCUAUUCCCCUCAACCUAGACUUUCUCUUCAAUUGAGAUUGAAAUUAUACAUGUACAGAAGUGGGCGGAUUAUAAAUAUUUUAUUAAUACUGUUGUAUGUAAGGUAGAGGUACAUAGUUUGUGCAGUGAGUGUAUUUAUUUCAUAUAAUAAAAACAUAUAAUUUAAAGAAGUCCAAUAUAGUCCUUUGUUUUUUCUUAGCUUCCAGUGAUUUUUUUACGAAAGAAAGAAAAAUGAUGUGUUCGUGCGAGUUGGUAUUGUGUUCGGUCCAAUGGAUUGCUUUGCCAAAAAUUUUAAUGGCUUCAGCUGCCUCUAUUGUACACUUGUCGCCGUUUAUUUCGUCAUGCUCAUCAGAUGCCUCAACAGGUUGAUUAACAUCAUCGAUAACGCCCUCAGUACUAUUAGCGCAAUUGUCAUCUAUUCCUGUCCAUAUUCUUAGUUCGUUGACACUUAGGUUUGGCUGAAAUAAAAAAAUUGUGUUUCAGUUAAAUUGAGUAAUUCUUAAAAUUCGGAAUGUUGUUGUGCAACUAUCCUCUGUCUUAAAACACUGAGAGGCACAUCAUCCUCGAUACACUCAUCAUUGUCUAUCGGAUGUUUAUAGUCAAGUAAUGGAC
Anastrepha ludens (Mexican fruit fly) is the source of this 1018-nucleotide long non-coding RNA. RefSeq lists it as uncharacterized. The record is from RefSeq and is a predicted model, not a curated record. The transcript is spliced from 3 exons. NCBI's taxonomy places the organism in Eukaryota, Metazoa, Arthropoda, Insecta, Diptera, Tephritidae.